CUCUCUCUGGCUGGACCUGGACUGCAGUCACACUCUAAGAGCUCCUCUUUCUACACCUCUGCCAGUGGGCGUUCGGUCAGAGACAAGCUAUGGCACCGGCUCCCGGACGCACGGGAGGACUCCUACCAGGGACAGAGUCCGCACAGGUGACCUGAGUGGCUGUGCACAGCCUUUGCUUCUGAGACGUGCCGGGAGCAGGUACCAGAGCAAUGAGGAAGCAGGACCCAGACCCCUGACUCCUAACUCCAGGUGAAGUCCACCCUGAGCUCAGGAGCAGAGCUGCCUCCAUCGGGUGUGGAGAGACAGAGCCUCCUCCCCAGCCAUGCCUCCUCAUCG
This 336-nucleotide long non-coding RNA is filed under the name Homo sapiens (human). RNAcentral's name for it is "non-protein coding lnc-GPR31-1:3". Lineage: Eukaryota; Metazoa; Chordata; Mammalia; Primates; Hominidae. The record is from RNAcentral.